GAUCCUGGCUCAGGAUGAACGCUAGCUACAGGCUUAACACAUGCAAGUCGAGGGGCAGCAUGGUCUUAGCUUGCUAAGGCCGAUGGCGACCGGCGCACGGGUGAGUAACACGUAUCCAACCUGCCGUCUACUCUUGGACUUUAGCCUUCUGAAAGGAAGAUUAAUACAAGAUGGCAUCAUGAGUCCACAUGUUCACAUGAUUAAAGGUAUUCCGGUAGACGAUGGGGA
This 228-nucleotide ribosomal RNA is filed under the name uncultured bacterium. RNAcentral describes it as "partial 16S ribosomal RNA". It matches the Rfam family "Bacterial small subunit ribosomal RNA", at positions 15 to 231 of the family's 1533-position model. The record is from RNAcentral.